This is a long non-coding RNA of Astyanax mexicanus (Mexican tetra), 3833 nucleotides long. RefSeq lists it as uncharacterized. The record is from RefSeq and is a predicted model, not a curated record. NCBI's taxonomy places the organism in Eukaryota, Metazoa, Chordata, Actinopteri, Characiformes, Acestrorhamphidae. The transcript has 2 exons.
GAGCCUGUUUUACUUAAACAUCAGGGUUCUAUCCAAUUCUGUUCUUCACAAAACACAUUUGGGGAAGAGUAUCAUGGCUCGAGUGAUUGACCAAUAAAGAUUACUCUAACGCAAGAAUUGUAAAAGUCGGCAAGACCACACAGGAUUCCAGGGUAACUUCUAAGCAACUGAAGGCCUGCUUUAGUUGGCUAGUGUUAAUGUUCAUGAGUCCACCGUCAGGAGAACACUGAACAAAAAUAGUGUGCAUGGCAGGGAUGCGAGGAGAAAGCCACUGCUCUGCAAAAAGAAGAUUGCUGCUCGUCUGCAGUAGAUCACCCAAAAUAACAUAAAAGAACCUUUUUGGUUUGAAUAAAAAAAUGUAUGUUUGGAGAAAGGAAAACUAUGGAAGUAAAACAGUGUCACCAGAUUUAGAAUUUUAAAAGCACUUGAAUUUUUAGCACUGAAUUAUUUUACAUUGAAUUAUUGCAUGUGAUUUUUUUUGCCUCUGAAUUAAACACUUUAAUUUUUCAGUAUAUCAUUUUCACUUAUUUUAUUUUAAUGUAAAAAAAUUCAAAAGCAAAAAUUCAAGUUUUAAAAAUUCAAUUAAAAUAAAUUCAGGUUGCUCAAAUUCGACCUGUCAAAUUCGACUGCUAAAAUACAACGCUCAAAAUUCGCUGUAAACAUCCGGGACACACAGGAUGAGCAAUCGAUUCAGUCUUCAAUCGAGCCAACAACCAGCCAAUCACAUCACGCUCCGAAGAUCACGUGACAGGUAGCGCCUCAGUACAGCAGAGCCGCUCAACGCAAGUCACAGCCCCCUCCGCUGCUGCUCUCGAGAAGGUGAGUGUAAAACAGCUGAAAACAGGGCAUUUACCUCACCACUGUGGCCAUGUAAUAUCACUUAAACGGUGUAGAAAUCCUCACUUUAACCACGGUUUGCUCUGUGGUUUGUAAACAUAUUAAAUUAAGAUAGAUAUCCAGAUAUACCUUGUUAAACUAACUAACUAAAUAAAUAAAGCUCCUCUGUUCAUUUCAGAAAGAGCUUCAAACACGAACACUAGAUCAAUUAUUUAUAAAUACAGCCAGACUGUGUGGAAGAUAAUUACUACUGUAGAAUCUGAGAUAGUAACUUAGUUAGCUAAAUUAUAGCUACCUAUCUUGCUAGUUAGCUGUGGGACUGUGCGAUUAUAGACAAGAUACUACCUAGUUAGCGGUUUGUUUAGCAAUACCUUAUUUACACUUUGCUGCAAAGUAUGUUGCUUAGUGUACUGGCCACUGUCUAAAUAAAUAUAUUGAGCUAUAUUACACUUAAGCCAGGCGGACACUGUGCGGUCGGAUGCGAUCUGGUCGGAUGCGACUGAAUUUCAUGAUCGGGCCGAAUUUUAGCUUGAUCGUGCGUCGUUUGUCGUGCAGUGUGAGAGGGGAAGCGAUGUCCGAUUAAUUGCCCAUACAAGCUGCGAAUGAGCAGUCGGACGCGACCAGGGAUUUCUGACAUGCCAGAAAUUUUGGUCGCUUGUCUCACAGUGUGAGCUGUUUUGCGGGCCGAUUUCUUAACGUCACGACCUGUUUUCCCAAAAAUCUGCACAGUAACUAUAAAUUAUUAUUAGUCAUAUUUAUUUCUGUCAGUUAUAAGGAUUUAUAUUUAUGUUCGGUACACAGACUUAUAGCUUAAUAUAGCAGACACAGGAAUUCUGCUGUUUAAGAAUUUCAACAGAUGCUUAUUCUCAGUCAAUAGCUGGAGUUUUUGAAAAGAAAAAUUAAAAGAGAAAAUAACUUUGACAAACAUAAAUUUAUUUUAUUUCACUUUGCUAUUAUAUCUGAAAAAUAAAGCACAUUGUCAACAUCUGGUGCUGCCCGUCAAUUAUAUAAAACUUAAAACAUGCACAGAAAUAUAAAGCUAUAUUUUAUAAUUAGUUUCUUUUCGCCAGUGCAAAUUUAUUAAAAUUAUAAAUAUAUUAAUUUAUUAAUUAAAAUCUCGUCCAGUGCUCCAGAAUAUUAGCCACGCAAAGCCAGCUUAGCAGCGCGUGGCAUUGCGCGCGGCAUUGCGCGCAGAAUAACCUCUGUCUUCUAAUAUAAACGUUUUAAUAAAUAAGGUCGGAGAAGUGUAGCAAAAUUAAUGCUAUUAAACUUACUAAAGCUAAUAAAUGUACUGAUAAUUAAUAAAGAUAAAUCGGAGAAAAUGCGCUGCGCCUCUCUCUCGCUCUCUUUUGCAGCGCGGAGCUGAAUUCAGCGCGAGGCUACAGAAACUCAGUUCAGUUGAAUAAAAAUAAGGGCCUGUAAGUACAAGCAAAGGACCUGUAAGUAAAUAUAGUCAAAUAUAAAGAAUAGUUUGAGGUUUUGGUGAGCUGUUUUCAUGAUUUGAAACUGAAACUAACUGAAACUUUGAAUAUUCUGCAGAAAGCCUGGGUUAUUUUAAACGAAUUUUUAAUUAGUUUAUAUUUUAUAUUUAUUCAUUUUAUUUUUUUUCUUCUUUUAUUAAUCAAAUCAUUAAAUAUAUAUCUUCAUAAGAUAUAAUUUUUUCACCUUUUAUGUCAAUUUUUAUGAUCUUUUUAAAAGGUCCUAUUUUUCCUUUUUUACGUAUAUAUUUUAUUCGUCUAUAAUAAAUGUCAGUUUUUAUUUCUAUUUUUUUAUAAAUAUUUUUAAUCCCUUUUAAACUGUUAAUGCUCAGCGGCACUGUAAAUGAGGGUACCUAUCCAGUGUGAAUAAUCGAUUGCUUGUUUAAUAUUCAGUGUUGCAAAACCCGUUUUUACAUAAACAAUAAACAGAAUAAAAAAUAAAAUUAUUUUAUUUUAUUUAAGCUGCUGGUGUUUCUUUCGCAGCCUGACGCGCAGUCAUUUUUCUAUGCGCUCUCCUUCUGUAAAACGGACAACCCGUAGAGUCCACGUCGCCUCAGCCACCUGCGAGUCCAUGUAGGUCUCUUCCGUGGACUUUCAGCGCACAACAGGGCACAAAUAAGCAAAGAAGCGCUUUCUUUUGCAAGGCGUUGUGUUGAAGCGAGAGUUUGUACGCAAAGAAAGCUCCGCCUACGGGCUGCGUUUAGACGUGCAGUGUAAGCUCCCCGUCGCAGCCGGUCAGUCGGACCGUACAGUGUGUGCAGAUGAAUCGCAGGCGUUGUUCAUACACGACAAACGAUUCAAACGUGCAGUGUGAGCUCUCCAGAACGCACCCGAUUAAAAAAAUCGCACAGUAAGAUAUGACCAUUAUUUAUUUUAUGAUAUUAAUUUUAAUGUUUAUAUUUAAUAUAUAUUUUAUACAUUUGUUAACAAUUCAACUCAGGCUUUUACUGAGGAUAUCAACAGUAAAUAAUAGUCCUAAAAUGCUUGUGUAAUUAAAAUACAGCAUGAUUAGUCCUGUUUACUAGUGCAUCUCAAAAGUGAAAAAUAUAUAUUUGUGUUUAAUAUCGUUCAGUAAACGGUCACCUUAUGUUUAAAGCGACACAUUUAACUUUUUUUUUAUUUUAAGUUUAAACUACAUAUUCUAGUAAACUGGGUUAAGGUUAGGACAGUAAUUCUGGUUUAAUGAACUUUUAGCCAGGUAAAAUUAUUUGGAAUAUGUCACUUUGCAUGUAGUGUAAUGUAUAAUUUCUGUUAAAUUAUGAUAUUCUCAUGAUCUUCAGAUUUUCUGAGAUGCAUUAGUAAUUGGUUUGUGCCAAAACCAAUGCAAUAAUAAUUGCAAAAAAUGUUUUAUAUAAAUGAAGUAAAUACUGAAUCCAAACAACACCAAGUUUAACACAGUCAUACUUCUUGUCUUCAUUUUCUUAAACAGGAUAUUUUCUCCCAGAAAAAGAAAGGAUAAUAAAAGGUUUCCUUUCUCCAAACUUUUAAAGAACAAAUAAAGAAAUCCAAUUUCAUGCA